Molecule: long non-coding RNA, 3215 nt
Organism: Stegostoma tigrinum
Lineage: Eukaryota; Metazoa; Chordata; Chondrichthyes; Orectolobiformes; Stegostomatidae
Exons: 3
Source: RefSeq, a predicted model, not a curated record
CGUUAAGUGUGAAAGCACUAUUUGGCAGAAGCUGCUUGCGGCCCAGUCUGCAGCCCUGCACAUACCCCUCCCGUCUCGAUUGACUCUCGAAACCCCUUUCGCUUAAAUGUACACAAAACACUUGGCCCUUCUUGUUCCCCGCUAAUCAUCGCUCCCUUUUACCUUUGCAUUUGAGGCGGCUGCAGCUCGGACUGUUCCAUAUCGGUAGUCUAGUGAUACAAAGUGCACGCCAUGACGCGUUAUUGUUGCUGUCGUCUUCAAAACAUAGAAAGGCUGCAAGUUUUUUUUUAAUUGGAGGCCGGAGGCGGGGGAGAGAAAUAAAUGCUGGAAGUCCGCCCAGUGGUUGCGAGCUGUAAGGACCGAGUCAUCAGCCAACACUGAGGCGCCUUUCUGCUACCGGGGCGGCCAUCUUGGGACCGGUAUGUGGUAACUACGGCAACCGGCUACGGCCGGCAGAGGGCAGCAGAACGGACAGACAACAACUGAAAACACACUGCCUCCAGAAAAAUAAAACGAAUCGGCUGCCUACUUUUUCCAACCGUCAUGAGUUGUUUUUAUGUAAAUCGCCUCAAGAAGGGAAGCUUCCGCCGUUUCAAAAAUCAAAGUAAUUAACCUCCCAAGAAGUGUGGCUGGACUCGAAACGUUAAUUUUACGUCCCUCUCACCACAGAGGUUCCUAGAUCUGCUGAGUUUUCCCAGCAAUUUUUGUCAUUUAUUUCAUGUGUUAUAUCGUGAAUCAGCAAUAAACCGGUUGAAUGCUGAAACAGGCUUAAGGGGCUAAAUUCCCUAUGUCUGUCCCAAUGUUCCUAAAGCCGACAUAUUACUGUAAUAAAAGCAUAGUACUGCAGAUGCUGGAAAUCUCAAACAACAGAGAAUGUUGGAGAACCUUGGCAUGUCUGGUAGCAUCCACAAGAGAAACAAAAUUAACGUAGAGUCUUCAGAACAAUUCACAUUUAUUAAUAUAAAUUGUUUCUUGUUGUUCAUUUAGAUGUAACAACCCACAAUCCCAAGCCAAAUAACCAAACCAAUUAGCAGGCUUGAUUUUAACCCUAUCUGCUUGCUCAACAUAACCAUCCUUUUGAAUAUUUAACUUGUAGGGUAAUGUGGGAAAUAUAGCAGCCCAUUUAUACACAUCAUCUCCCAAAGACAGUAAUGCAAUAAUGAGUAGGUAAUCUGUUUUUUGUGAUGAUGACUGAGGGAUAAAUAUUGACCUGGAUCUACAAAAACACAAAAUUGGCAUAGAAGUAGACCAUUCAUCACCUCAGCAUUUCAUUUCUCAUUCAUCAGUCUGUUCUUCCUCAUUUUCAGAAGAGAGCACAGAAUAUCUGGGAGAGGCAGAAAAUCAGGCAUGUGUGUACAGUUAAUUCCAUCUUGACAGCUCUAGAGGAGGAGAAGAUAUUGUUAAUAAGUCAACUCCCAGCAUUGCUGAUCAUAGGAUAUGAAGAGGGGAGGGUUUCCAAGUUACCUGGUGACAGAAUUAUACAUUACACUGCUACAUGGCAACAACAUUCACUCACUCAUUGACUAAGAUAACAGCCAGUCACCUUGUCAGUUCUGAUUCAAGUUUUCCAUCUCUCACAGAAUGGAACGCUUUGCCUGCAACGGUAAUAGAUUCGCCAGCUUUAGGUACAUUUAAGUCAUCAUUGGAUAAGCAUAUGGACAUACAUGGAAUAGUGUAGGUUAGAUGGGCUUCAGAUUGGUAUGACAGGUCGGCAACAUUGAGGGCCGAAGGCCCUGUACUGUGCUGUAAUGUUCUAUGUUCUAUUUACUCAGGAGGAGAUACUUCACACUAUUUAUGAACCAUAGUGCAAUGUAUGCACCUUCUGUCAGCUCUUGUACACACUACUUGGUGCAAUCAAAGUUAAUUGGUUUAACAGAGGAUGAAUCAACACAACAGAUGAGUGGAACAGAUGGUGAAGAUGUAUUUAACAAUGGAGGUUCCUGUCAGAGCGCAGCCUUGUCCAAAUUCUGCUCUGUGUAGAAUAGACCCCUCUCAUAGACAGCUUGGGAUGCAAAUGCUGUCUCAAGCCAGCAAUGAGGAGGACGACUGUUCUGAACAGCAGCAUUAAAUGUUUGAGGUUCUGCCAGGUUUUGCAGAAGCCCCGCACAGGACUGGAGAAAAAUAGAAGUCAAUCUCCAUAUCCCAGUAGGCCAUGAGUUCUAAUUCAUGCACAGAGCAGCAGCAUGACAGAUUUCACUUGAUCUGCUGAUCUUUUUGUCCAGUAAAGAAUCUGGUCAUAAAGGGAACAAUGCACCUGCAUUGUGGAAACUGAUAUAACAAAGGGACCAUAGGACUGAGGAGCAUGCAAAAGGAAGUCGGGGACCCAUUUAUUUGGCCAGACGAAGUUAAAGGGGAAGGCUUUUGCUACCUUCAGGCUGCUAAUCAUUCAGAAACUUAGGAGUUGUGGGAGGUAGCCUAAUGUGCAGUUGUUAGCAGUCUCCAGGCAGUUAGGACUUGGAAGAGGUGUUGAGGAGCUAAGAAGAUAGUGGAAAGCCACAGAGCCUGUGUUGGAGAGAGAGGAGCAACAAAAGAAGGUGGCUUCAAAAGGUUAAAGUGCUGCAGUUGGUUUUGUUGAGCGGGCAGCUCAUUGAAGCUGCAUGGGAAAUUCGAUAGCUGAGAAGAGAGCAAAGGAAACCAAUGAGCAGUACUUGCUGAAAAAUUGAGGUUUGGAGAAACAUGGGAUCAGUGCCGACUUACCAAAGCAAGCUGCCUGAAAAGGAGAUAGUAGGAACUGCCAGUGCUGGAGAAUCAGAAAUGAUUUCUGAACAAGGGUCCAGAUCUGAAAUGUCAGCUUGCCUGUUGUUCUGAUGCUGCCUGGCCUGCUGUGUUGAUCCAGCUCUACACCUUGUUAUCUUUGCUUGAAAAAGAGCUGGAACUGUGCAAUCGGUAAGCGCUGGAGUUCAGCCCAAGAAUCCAAGGGAGCAUAAUCCUAGCAAAAGAGAUUGAGUUGUCAAGAAAUAAGCAGUUGUUAAGACAGACCAAGUUGUUAAGUCAGAUCAUGUAGAGUAGCAUUGAGGAACUUUCUAGGCUAGAUCUUUGGAAAUGAAGACCUAAAAUCCCUAGUGAAGGAGACAGUCUUAAUUGGUGGUGCAUGGUGUCACUGGCAUGUGGGUGGAUUCCUGAGAAAUCCAUGGGAUUUGCUUUGACUGUAACAGCUAUUUGUUAAGCUAUCGAGCAGUUUGUCUGUUAAUCCACAUUUACCUUGUGCUAAUUCC